RNAcentral lists this ribosomal RNA (433 nucleotides) under uncultured bacterium. Its description in RNAcentral is "partial 16S ribosomal RNA". It matches the Rfam family "Bacterial small subunit ribosomal RNA", at positions 29 to 507 of the family's 1533-position model. The record is from RNAcentral.
AACGAACGCUGGCGGCAUGCCUAACACAUGCAAGUCGAACGAGCCCUUCGGGUCUAGUGGCGCACGGGUGCGUAACGCGUGGGAACCUGCCCUUAGGUUCGGAAUAACUCCCCGAAAGGGGUGCUAAUACCGGAUAAUGUCUUCGGACCAAAGAUUUAUCGUCUUUGGAUGGGCCCGCGUUGGAUUAGCUAGUUGGUAGGGUAAAAGCCUACCAAGGCGACGAUCCAUAGCUGGUCUGAGAGGAUGAUCAGCCACACUGGGACUGAGACACGGCCCAGACUCCUACGGGAGGCAGCAGUGGGGAAUAUUGGACAAUGGGCGAAAGCCUGAUCCAGCAAUGCCGCGUGAGUGAUGAAGGCCUUAGGGUUGUAAAGCUCUUUUACCCGGGAUGAUAAUGACAGUACCGGGAGAAUAAGCACCGGCUAACUCCGUG